This 252-nucleotide ribosomal RNA is filed under the name uncultured bacterium. RNAcentral describes it as "partial 16S ribosomal RNA". It matches the Rfam family "Bacterial small subunit ribosomal RNA", at positions 524 to 776 of the family's 1533-position model. The record is from RNAcentral.
UACGAAGGGGGCUAGCGUUGUUCGGAAUUACUGGGCGUAAAGGGCGCGUAGGCGGUGUGUCAAGUCAGGCGUGAAAGCCCCGGGCUCAACCUGGGAACAGCGCUUGAGACUGGCACGCUCGAGUUCGGGAGAGGAUGGUGGAAUUCCCAGUGUAGAGGUGAAAUUCGUAGAUAUUGGGAAGAACACCGAUGGCGAAGGCAGCCAUCUGGACCGACACUGACGCUGAGGCGCGAAAGCGUGGGAGCAAACAGG